Molecule: transfer RNA, 74 nt
Filed under: Pseudomonas sp.
Lineage: Bacteria; Pseudomonadati; Pseudomonadota; Gammaproteobacteria; Pseudomonadales; Pseudomonadaceae
Also listed under: 4 other names
Description: tRNA-Gly
Rfam family: tRNA
About the family: Transfer RNA (tRNA) molecules are approximately 80 nucleotides in length. Their secondary structure includes four short double-helical elements and three loops (D, anti-codon, and T loops).
Source: RNAcentral
GCGGGUAUAGUUCAACGGUAGAACUUCAGCCUUCCAAGCUGAUAGUGCGGGUUCGAUUCCCGCUACCCGCUCCA